RNAcentral lists this ribosomal RNA (378 nucleotides) under uncultured bacterium. RNAcentral's name for it is "bacterial SSU rRNA". It matches the Rfam family "Bacterial small subunit ribosomal RNA", at positions 30 to 410 of the family's 1533-position model. The record is from RNAcentral.
AUUGAACGCUGGCGGAAUGCUUUACACAUGCAAGUCGAACGGCAGCACGGGGCAACCUGGUGGCGAGUGGCGAACGGGUGAGUAAUACAUCGGAACGUGCCCAAUCGUGGGGGAUAACGUAGCGAAAGUUACGCUAAUACCGCAUACGAUCUACGGAUGAAAGCGGGGGAUCGCAAGACCUCGCGCGAAUGGAGCGGCCGAUGUCAGAUUAGGUAGUUGGUGGGGUAAAGGCUCACCAAGCCAACGAUCUGUAGCUGGUCUGAGAGGACGACCAGCCACACUGGAACUGAGACACGGUCCAGACUCCUACGGGAGGCAGCAGUGGGGAAUUUUGGACAAUGGGCGCAAGCCUGAUCCAGCCAUUCCGCGUGCAGGAUG